CAGCAGCCGCGGUAAUACGAAGGGUGCAAGCGUUAAUCGGAAUUACUGGGCGUAAAGCGUGCGUAGGCGGUGAGUUAAGUCUGCUGUGAAAUCCCCGGGCUCAACCUGGGAAUGGCAGUGGAUACUGGCUCGCUAGAGUGUGUCAGAGGAUGGUGGAAUUCCCGGUGUAGCGGUGAAAUGCGUAGAGAUCGGGAGGAACAUCAGCGGCGAAGGCGGCCAUCUGGGACAACACUGACGCUGAGGCACGAAAGCGUGGGGAGCAAACAGGAUUAGAUACCCGCGUAGUCCCUGUCUCUUAUAC
RNAcentral lists this ribosomal RNA (301 nucleotides) under uncultured bacterium. RNAcentral's name for it is "partial 16S ribosomal RNA". It matches the Rfam family "Bacterial small subunit ribosomal RNA", at positions 509 to 807 of the family's 1533-position model. The record is from RNAcentral.